GAUGUGAGGAUAAUUUAGCUGUAUGACCUGUUACCAUUUGAUUACUGGAGUAGAUUUAGUUCAUCUGACAGGCUGGCCAGGUGUUCCUCUUAUUUCUGAAUGCUC
Unclassified non-coding RNA from Vulpes vulpes (red fox), 105 nucleotides. Its record names the gene 7SK. It matches the Rfam family "7SK RNA". From Rfam's summary of the family: 7SK was discovered as an abundant small nuclear RNA in the mid-70s but a possible function has only recently been suggested. Two independent studies have found that 7SK RNA binds the CDK9/cyclin T complex (known as elongation factor P-TEFb). The record is from Ensembl. Lineage: Eukaryota; Metazoa; Chordata; Mammalia; Carnivora; Canidae.